RNAcentral lists this transfer RNA (67 nucleotides) under Ara ararauna (blue-and-yellow macaw). Its description in RNAcentral is "tRNA-Cys". The record is from RNAcentral. Lineage: Eukaryota; Metazoa; Chordata; Aves; Psittaciformes; Psittacidae.
GACUCUGUAGUGAAGUUCAUGUUGAGUUGCAAGCUCAUCGAUAUGUGUUUGGUGCACAUCAGAGUUU